Molecule: ribosomal RNA, 336 nt
Filed under: uncultured soil bacterium
Lineage: Bacteria
Description: bacterial SSU rRNA
Rfam family: Bacterial small subunit ribosomal RNA
Source: RNAcentral
AGAACGAACGCUGGCGGCGUGGAUAAGACAUGCAAGUCGAACGGGACUUUUCCGAGUAGCAAUACUUGGGAAAGUUUAGUGGCGAACGGGUGCGUAACGCGUGGGGAAUCUGCCGAGAAGUGGGGGAUAGCUCGUCGAAAGGCGAAUUAAUACCGCAUAUGAUCAGGGAAGACAUCUUUCCAACAUCAAAGCCGGGGCAACCUGGCGCUUCUUGAUGACCCCGCGGCCUAUCAGCUAGUUGGUGAGGUAACGGCCCACCAAGGCUAUGACGGGUAGCUGGUCUGAGAGGACGACCAGUCACACUGGAACUGAGACACGGUCCAGACACCUACGGGU